UACGUAGGGGGCAAGCGUUAUCCGGAAUUACUGGGCGUAAAGCGCACGCAGGCGGUUCGCCAAGUUUGGAGUGACAGUUGUCGGCUCAACCGACAAAGGACUUCAAAAACUGGUGAACUUGAGGACGAGAGAGGAACAUGGAACUCCAGGUGUAGUAGUGAAAUGCGUAGAUAUCUGGAAGAACACCAAUGGCGAAGGCAAUGUUCUGGCUCGUUUCUGACGCUCAGGUGCGGAAGCCAGGGGAGCGAACGGG
Molecule: ribosomal RNA, 253 nt
Filed under: uncultured bacterium
Lineage: Bacteria
Description: partial 16S ribosomal RNA
Rfam family: Bacterial small subunit ribosomal RNA
Source: RNAcentral